GGGGAAUAUUGGGCAAUGGGGGAAACCCUGACCCAGCGACGCCGCGUGAGGGAAGACGGUCUUCGGAUUGUAAACCUCUUUCAGCAGGGAAGAAGAAGUGACGGUACCUGCAGAAGAAGCCACGGCUAACUACGUGCCAGCAGCCGCGGUAAUACGUAGGUGGCAAGCGUUAUCCGGAUUUAUUGGGUGUAAAGGGUGUGUAGGCGGGACUGCAAGUCAGACGUGAAAAUCAUGGGCUCAACCCAUGACUUGCGUUUGAAACUGCGGUUCUUGAGAGUGGGAGAGGUAAACGGAAUUCCUGGUGUAGCGGUGAAAUGCGUAGAUAUCAGGAGGAACACCGGUGGCGAAGGCGGUUUACUGGACCACAACUGACGCUGAGACACGAAAGCGUGGGGAGCAAAC
This 402-nucleotide ribosomal RNA is filed under the name uncultured bacterium. RNAcentral describes it as "bacterial SSU rRNA". It matches the Rfam family "Bacterial small subunit ribosomal RNA", at positions 356 to 773 of the family's 1533-position model. The record is from RNAcentral.